AUCCCUGGUCCAUCAAAACUUACUAAAAAGAAAGGAUCAAAUUCCCCAAAAUCGUUGAUAAUCCAUUACAAAUCAGAAAUGCCAUCCGCAUCAAAAGAACAAAGUCAAGAGACGAAUGUACAAACCCAAUACAUCUUAGUUCUUACGGUCAAGAACCCUCUCAGCCCAACAAAGCAUAAUAAUUAUAAUAAUAAUAAGUAAAUAAAAUUUGCUCAACCGCGAUUCGCUCAACCA
RNAcentral lists this unclassified non-coding RNA (234 nucleotides) under Hevea brasiliensis (rubber tree). Lineage: Eukaryota; Viridiplantae; Streptophyta; Magnoliopsida; Malpighiales; Euphorbiaceae. The record is from RNAcentral.